UCUCAUGGAUAUUUCAUCUGUUUUCAGAAUUUUGGGAAAUCCAAUUGACGAUCUGUCAAAGUUUGGAGCAGUGCAUGUACUGAAUGAAGGUUAUAAUAUUUUUACUAGAGAUUCAAGCCCUGGUGCAGAAAGGAGACAGGGACUUCUCCCUGGAAAUGAAUGAUGAAGACAAAGUUGAAGUGAGCUGCCCAGGUUUGUGCUGCAAGCAUGGAGUCUCCAUGAAGAGCACAUGGGGAGAAGAUGCUUCAUAGGAGC
Lonchura striata (white-rumped munia) is the source of this 255-nucleotide non-coding RNA. Lineage: Eukaryota; Metazoa; Chordata; Aves; Passeriformes; Estrildidae. The record is from RefSeq and is a predicted model, not a curated record.